RNAcentral lists this unclassified non-coding RNA (406 nucleotides) under soil metagenome. RNAcentral's name for it is "partial contains 5.8S ribosomal RNA, internal transcribed spacer 2, and large subunit ribosomal RNA". The stretch from base 1 to 122 matches the Rfam family "5.8S ribosomal RNA", at positions 35 to 154 of the family's 154-position model. The record is from RNAcentral.
GAUGAAGAAACGUAGCGAAAUGCGAUAAGUAAUGUGAAUUGCAGAAUUCAGUGAAUCAUCGAAUCUUUGAACGCACCUUGCGCCCUUUGGCUAUUCCAGAGGGCAUGCCUGUUUGAGUAUCAUGAACACCUCAACUCUCAUGGUUCUGCCAUGAUGAGCUUGGACUUUGGAGGUCUUGCUGGCCCCUGUGGUCAGCUCCUCUCAAAUGGAUCAGCUUGCCAGUGUUUGGUGGCAUCACAGGUGUGAUAACUAUCUACGCUUGUGGUUUUCCACCAGGUAACCUUCAGUGAUGGAGGUUCGCUGGAGCUCAUAAACGUCUCUCCUCAGCGAGGACAGCUUCUUGAACGUUUGAUCUCAAAUCAGGUAGGGCUACCCGCUGAACUUAAGCAUAUCAAUAAGCGGAGGA